This 439-nucleotide ribosomal RNA is filed under the name uncultured bacterium. Its description in RNAcentral is "partial 16S ribosomal RNA". It matches the Rfam family "Bacterial small subunit ribosomal RNA", at positions 339 to 795 of the family's 1533-position model. The record is from RNAcentral.
CUACGGGACGCUGCAGUGGGGAAUAUUGGACAAUGGGGGAAACUCUGAUGCAGCAACGCCGCGUGGAGGAUGACACUUUUCGGAGCGUAAACUCCUUUUAUAUAGGAAGAAGAUGACGGUACUAUAUGAAUAAGCGCCGGCUAACUCCGUGCCAGCAGCCGCGGUAAUACGGAGGGCGCAAGCGUUACUCGGAAUCACUGGGCGUAAAGAGCGUGUAGGCGGAUUAAAAAGUCAGAAGUGAAAUCCUAUAGCUUAACUAUAGAACUGCUUCUGAAACUCUUAAUCUAGAAUAUGGGAGAGGUAGAUGGAAUUUCUGGUGUAGGGGUAAAAUCCGUAGAGAUCAGAAGGAAUACCGAUUGCGAAGGCGAUCUACUAGAACAUUAUUGACGCUGAGACGCGAAAGCGUGGGGAGCAAACAGGAUUAGAUACCCGAGUAGUC